GAUGAACGCUGGCGGCGUGCCUAAUACAUGCAAGUCGAGCGAACAGAUGAGGAGCUUGCUCCUCUGACGUUAGCGGCGGACGGGUGAGUAACACGUGGAUAACCUACCUAUAAGACUGGGAUAACUUCGGGAAACCGGAGCUAAUACCGGAUAAUAUAUUUAACCGCAUGGUUCAAUAGUGAAAGACGGUUUUGCUGUCACUUAUAGAUGGAUCCGCGCCGCAUUAGCUAGUUGGUAAGGUAACGGCUUACCAAGGCAACGAUGCGUAGCCGACCUGAGAGGGUGAUCGGCCACACUGGAACUGAGACACGGUCCAGACUCCUACGGGAGGCAGCAGUAGGGAAUCUUCCGCAAUGGGCGAAAUCCUGACGGAGCAACGCCGCGUGAGUGAUGAAGGUCUUCGGAUCGUAAAACUCUGUUAUUAGGGAAGAACAAAUGUGUAAGUAACUAUGCACGUCUUGACGGUACCUAAUCAGAAAGCCACGGCUAACUACGUG
This 497-nucleotide ribosomal RNA is filed under the name uncultured bacterium. Its description in RNAcentral is "partial 16S ribosomal RNA". It matches the Rfam family "Bacterial small subunit ribosomal RNA", at positions 28 to 507 of the family's 1533-position model. The record is from RNAcentral.